UUUUAAAGCCAACCUCACCUGGUAGCAUAAAUUUACUGGAUCCCAUCAAAACUCUCCGGUCAAACAUGUUUGGGCGAAAGUAGUAUUAGGAUGGUUGACCUCCUGAAAAGUCUUCAUGUUACACAUU
Molecule: non-coding RNA, 127 nt
Organism: Lupinus angustifolius (narrow-leaved blue lupine)
Lineage: Eukaryota; Viridiplantae; Streptophyta; Magnoliopsida; Fabales; Fabaceae
Source: Rfam